This 974-nucleotide ribosomal RNA is filed under the name uncultured bacterium. Its description in RNAcentral is "bacterial SSU rRNA". It matches the Rfam family "Bacterial small subunit ribosomal RNA", at positions 537 to 1501 of the family's 1533-position model. The record is from RNAcentral.
GGGACCGUUUCGGAUUAUUGGGCGUAAGAGCUCGUAGGCGGUUUGUCGCGUCUGCCGUGAAAGUCCGGGGCUCAACUCCGGGUCUGCGGUGGGUACGGGCAGACUAGAGUGAUGUAGGGGAGACUGGAAUUCCUGGUGUAGCGGUGAAAUGCGCAGAUAUCAGGAGGAACACCGAUGGCGAAGGCAGGUCUCUGGGCAUUAACUGACGCUGAGGAGCGAAAGCAUGGGGAGCGAACAGGAUUAGAUACCCUGGUAGUCCAUGCCGUAAACGUUGGGCACUAGGUGUGGGGGACAUUCCACGUUUUCCGCGCCGUAGCUAACGCAUUAAGUGCCCCGCCUGGGGAGUACGGCCGCAAGGCUAAAACUCAAAGGAAUUGACGGGGGCCCGCACAAGCGGCGGAGCAUGCGGAUUAAUUCGAUGCAACGCGAAGAACCUUACCAAGGCUUGACAUGGACCGGACCGGGCUGGAAACAGUCCUUCCCCUUUGGGGCCGGUUCACAGGUGGUGCAUGGUUGUCGUCAGCUCGUGUCGUGAGAUGUUGGGUUAAGUCCCGCAACGAGCGCAACCCUCGUUCCAUGUUGCCAGCGCGUAAUGGCGGGGACUCAUGGGAGACUGCCGGGGUCAACUCGGAGGAAGGUGGGGACGACGUCAAAUCAUCAUGCCCCUUAUGUCUUGGGCUUCACGCAUGCUACAAUGGCCGGUACAAAGGGUUGCGAUACUGUGAGGUGGAGCUAAUCCCAAAAAGCCGGGUCUCAGUUCGGAUUGGGGUCUGCAACUCGACCCCAUGAAGUCGGAGUCGCUAGUAAUCGCAGAUCAGCAACGCUGCGGUGAAUACGUUCCCGGGGCCUUGUACACACCGCCCGUCAAGUCACGAAAGUUGGUAACACCCGAAGCCCGGUGGCCUAACCCCUUGUGGGGAGGGAGCUGUCGAAGGUGGGACUGGCGAUUGGGACUAAGUCGUAACAAGGUAACC